UGCCAGCAGCCGCGGUAAUACGGAGGGUGCAAGCGUUGUUCGGAAUUACUGGGCGUAAAGCGCGCGUAGGCGGCUUUGUAAGUCGGAUGUGAAAGCCCCGGGCUUAACCUGGGGAUUGCAUUCGAUACUGCAUGGCUAGAGUAUGGUAGAGGGAAGUGGAAUUCCGGGUGUAGCGGUGAAAUGCGUAGAUAUCCGGAGGAACACCAGUGGCGAAGGCGACUUCCUGGGCCAAUACUGACGCUCAGGUGCGAAAGCGUGGGGAGCAAACAGGAUUAGAUA
This 279-nucleotide ribosomal RNA is filed under the name uncultured bacterium. Its description in RNAcentral is "partial 16S ribosomal RNA". It matches the Rfam family "Bacterial small subunit ribosomal RNA", at positions 506 to 784 of the family's 1533-position model. The record is from RNAcentral.